Molecule: unclassified non-coding RNA, 236 nt
Filed under: plant metagenome
Description: partial contains small subunit ribosomal RNA, internal transcribed spacer 1, and 5.8S ribosomal RNA
Source: RNAcentral
UCUCCGUAGGUGAACCUGCGGAAGGAUCAUUACCGAGUGAGGGGCCUCUGGGUCCUGCGGCCCAUACCUCUUUAUCGUUCUUUGUUGCUUCGGCGGGCGUGCCUCACGGGCGCCGGGUGGGACCCGCCGCCGGGCCCGCGCCCGCCGAAGACACCAUAGAAAGCUGUAGGAAGAUUGAAGUCUGAGCAUCUUAGCUAAACCAGUUAAAACUUUCAACAACGGAUCUCUUGGUUCCG